GAUGAACGCUGGCGGCGUGCCUAAUACAUGCAAGUCGAGCGAACGGACGAGAAGCUUGCUUCUCUGAUGUUAGCGGCGGACGGGUGAGUAACACGUGGAUAACCUACCUAUAAGACUGGGAUAACUUCGGGAAACCGGAGCUAAUACCGGAUAAUAUUUUGAACCGCAUGGUUCAAAAGUGAAAGACGGUCUUGCUGUCACUUAUAGAUGGAUCCGCGCUGCAUUAGCUAGUUGGUAAGGUAACGGCUUACCAAGGCAACGAUGCAUAGCCGACCUGAGAGGGUGAUCGGCCACACUGGAACUGAGACACGGUCCAGACUCCUACGGGAGGCAGCAGUAGGGAAUCUUCCGCAAUGGGCGAAAGCCUGACGGAGCAACGCCGCGUGAGUGAAGAAGGUCUUCGGAUCGUAAAACUCUGUUAUUAGGGAAGAACAUAAGUGUAAGUAACUGUGCACAUCUUGACGGUACCUAAUCAGAAAGCCACGGCUAACUACGUG
RNAcentral lists this ribosomal RNA (497 nucleotides) under uncultured bacterium. RNAcentral describes it as "partial 16S ribosomal RNA". It matches the Rfam family "Bacterial small subunit ribosomal RNA", at positions 28 to 507 of the family's 1533-position model. The record is from RNAcentral.